AUUGAACGCUGGCGGAAUGCUUUACACAUGCAAGUCGAACGGCAGCACGGGGGCAGCCCUGGUGGCGAGUGGCGAACGGGUGAGUAAUACAUCGGAACGUGCCCGGUCGUGGGGGAUAACGUAGCGAAAGUUACGCUAAUACCGCAUACGAUCUGAGGAUGAAAGCGGGGGACCUUCGGGCCUCGCGCGAUCGGAGCGGCCGAUGUCAGAUUAGGUAGUUGGUGGGGUAAAGGCCUACCAAGCCGACGAUCUGUAGCUGGUCUGAGAGGACGACCAGCCACACUGGGACUGAGACACGGCCCAGACUCCUACGGGAGGCAGCAGUGGGGAAUUUUGGACAAUGGGCGCAAGCCUGAUCCAACCAUUCCGCGUGCAGGACGAAGGCCUUCGGGUUGUAAACUGCUUUUGUACGGAACGAAAAGGCUCUGGCUAAUACCUGGGGCUCAUGACGGUACCGUAAGAAUAAGCACCGGCUAACUACGU
Molecule: ribosomal RNA, 483 nt
Filed under: uncultured bacterium
Lineage: Bacteria
Description: partial 16S ribosomal RNA
Rfam family: Bacterial small subunit ribosomal RNA
Source: RNAcentral